UGUGUGUACAAAAUGUUUCAACAUCACUCAUUCAUUCCCUUUCCUAUUAUGUAGUGGAAAUAAUAUUUCUUUGCUCCAUAGGUGAAGAAAGAUGCAAGAGUGAGGAUCGUACUGCUAUCACCCCAAGCCGGACUAUUAUCUGUUCCAACAAAAGGAAAAUGAAUGUCUACCAAGCAUCUCAAGCAGAGAACUUUCACCACUCGCCCUGCUUUACAAUUCCAAGAUUCUUUGAAGGGAAGCCAUGAUAGUUGUAGCAGUACUGAUAAAACUGUUAGUGGAAAUAGCUUGCGGAUGUUUAGCUCCCCCACCCCUACUGUUAGCUAUUUGUCCUUACCUGUUAUAAUGGCAGGGAUCCCCCAGCCCAUAACAUAGUAGAACCUCAUGUGUCCAAAAUUUAUGUUUCUCACUUCAGUCAGCAUGCGGUAGAUAUGAAGCUGUUCUACAAACAUCCAAGCAAAUGUGCUCAUGUAGAAGUAGUGCAGAAGAAUGGCUAUCACAGUGCAGACAAACUAGAAAAAAAAAAAUAAAGAGUCCAAUAUGAUUAGUUCUACCUCCACCAAGGCACAAAAAUAUUACAGCAGAAGACCUAGAUGUUGUUAAAGAUGCAAGCAAACAUUAAUAAGAGCCAUAAUCCUCAUUAUUAAGGACCAUAAUCUAAAGAACUAUUUUAGGCACUUCUGAGAUCUUGCAUUUUUUCACCUUUUGACAUCAGGAUGCCAUGCUAUGUUAUAUAAGAACUUAACAAAACCAGCACUGAAUCAGGCCAAAGCCCUAUCUAGCCCUGUCUAGAAUGCUGUUUCCAAAACCAGGUAUGUCUUCAAAGUUCAAAAACAGACAUGAAGUUAAAGGUCUUCUACUCUUGUUCUCCAAAAAAUGGUAUUCAUAAGUAUAAUGCCUCUGAUCUUUGUAGAAGCAUAUACUGUCAUGAUUGCUUCAGAGGGUUCCUUAAAUGCAAAGUUUUUUCUAGGGGUACAAAUCUAAUGCAGUCUGCUAGCAAUUUGCCAACCAACCAAGAACCAAAACAAUAGGGAGAUUAUCAGAUGGUGAAAAAGAACAGGAGGGAAGCAGAACGCUCCCGUCCUUAUCAUGUGGUUGCAGGAAGAUUAUCAGAUGACAUCCCACGAAUCCUGUCCUUCUCCCAGUGAAGUGGAAUGGCCCUUUAACUUUUAAUUGAUGGCAGUUUCCUAUCAAUACAAAAUUAUGAGGUCAUUCCACUUCAAUGACAGGAGAAGGAUGGGAUGAGCGUGAUGUUGCAGGAUGUCACUGAAUAAUCUUCUUGCAAUCGCACAAUAAGGAUGGGAGCAUUCUGCUUCUUUCCUGUCCUUUUUCACCAUCUGAGACUCUCCUAGGAUAUCAGAAACAUUCAUGUACACUAUUUUUGACUGGCUGCAACUUAGUGUUUCAUCUGAACUUAGCUAAACUAUGGGUAGUUUUAACUGACUUGCUGAAACAAGCCAAUUCCUAAUCUAGAUUGGUAGUUGACUUGAUACUAUAGACCACACUUAAAAUUAGCUAUAUUUUAGAUUUCAGAAGCAACACUAAACUGUAGUUAAUGGGAAAUGAAAGUGAAACCUUGCAAUAUUGACUAAGCCAGCAUGGUGUAGUGGUUUGAGCAUUUGACUAUGGCACAGUACAGACCACCAAAAAACAGCAGCCUGCUGGUGCAUCUUUUUCCCCCAGAGGGAAGCCGCAGCCUCCAAACCACGCGGCUUCCCUCCGGCAGAAAAAGAACCCAUGAAAAGCGGGUUCUUUUAAAGCCAGUGGCACACUUGUUAUGUAAGUGCCACGUGGCAACAUGUGGAUGCCGCGCGGCGCUUACGUAACAAUGGUGGCACCCAUGUAUAUAGGGCACCGCCAUUAUUACGCUGCCGCCACGUACUAGGGUUAUGGGGCAUGCAGUCAUUCCGCGCCCGUGCAACCCUAGUAUGUGGCCAGGCCGGCGCAAAGCACCGGUCUAGACCACGCCUAUGACUCUGGGGACCAGGGUUCAAAUCCCCACUCUUUCCAUGGAAACUCACUGGGUGACCUUGGACAAGUCACAUUAUCUCAGCCUUAGAGGAAGGCUAUGACCCCUCUGAACAAAACACGAGAAGCAAGCUGUGUGAUAGAUUUCCUUUAGGAUUGUCAUUAAGUCAAAAACAACUUAAAGGCAAACAACAACAAUGAUGAUGAAGCAGGGGGAUUAGUCUGGCCCUCAGCUUGUCUAAGUUUGUUCCUGUACUGAAACACAUAAUUUAUAUGUCAGAAUACAGGCACAACGUAUUACACUGAAGCACUAAGAAAUGUUGAAUAGAUUCCAAAUUAACCUCCUCAUCUGACCAACAUGUACAAAAAAUAGUCAAGGAGGAGCCAAACUUUCACUGGCAACUGUUCAGUAUACCAUUAUACUUUGAUAGCUAUGAUUUUAGAUGCUGUAGUCUGUUAUUUAGGACACCUCCUCCGCUCCCUAGUUGAAUAUAACUCUAAGGGAUGUUUUCGGUUUCUAAAAUAUUUUUUGUAAAGGUCACAAUAGUGAAAAUUGCUUUUUUCCAGGUAUACAACAAAGAAAAUAAAUAAUUUUUGGCUAUCAGUCAUUCAUGGAUGGCUGAAACCUCUCCUUGCCCUGUGCCUGGUCCUUUAUGGAGUGGUACAAAAGCUAAAUGGAAUGUCAAGCAACUCUAUUUCAUUUGUGCUCCCACAUUCUUUGACUUUUCAUGCUCAUCAGUGUGUGACUCAUUGGACAAUUCUUAUUCCACAAAGAAGGAUUAACAACUGCUUGAAACACACACAGCAGGCUUCUCUUCACAGUCAUCCCUCAGUUUUAAGGAGUGGUCCUUUAGUGUCAAAUAUACAGCUUGCUAAAGAAAAAAAGCUCUGGCAAAUAGUUUAUGGUAUAGAACUAAAAAUAUGUUUGUUAAUCAAUAAAACUGGGGAUAAUUUUUCUUUUUUAAAAAAAAGGCUGCAUUGUUGCUGUCAUAAAGGAAACAUGCUGCUGAAAAUCCUAGCAAAGGUGAAAAUAAAUUUUAUAAACAAAAUAUCUCCUUAAGAAGGCUGUUGAAAAUUAAGCACUAGUAUAUAUUUUCAAAGAAAAAACAACUGGAAACAUAGUACAUCACCUAUAGAACUCCAAAGCUAAUUUGUAAACUCUAAGCACACAUUAAUUUUCACAUUUUAACAAUAAAUCCUUGAAUUGUUAUAUUUCCUCUCAGAUGCAAAGCCACUAUGGGAAAAGUGCAGGCUAAAAGCCUUCCCAUUAAUGUGCUAGGUUACCAAUGCCACACAUGUGCUCUAAAGGGAUAUAUAGCCCAAUAAUAUAUAAUAUAGGCUGAGAUUCCAUAUUGGGAGAUGUAGCUACAGUGACACUACCUUUUAUAUUACUUUAUAAACUGUUUAAAAGGUAUCUUUAAGCUUUAAAAGGAAUCUUAAAUGACCUUUUCAGCUACUCAGCUCCCCCAACAUGGCCAUCUGCAACUUGCCAGAGAGUGCAGUGUGUGAGCCAGGAUAUGUCCAGCCCUAUCCCCGCAGCUGGGUGCACUACUACAGCACUGGUAGCAUCCUGUCACAACAUCAUAGCUCACUUUCCCACUCUCUGGAACAUGGAAAUGGCCAUGUUAGGGGAGGGGGCUAAGCAGCUUACACAGUAGGUUUUGGGAAGACUUCUGGUUGUUGUGUAGGCAAUGGCCCAUAAAAGUGAAUUGUAGUCUUGUGGUCCUGUGCAAAGAGAAACGCAGGAUAUAAAUUAAAUAAACAACAACUUAUGACAUUGUAAUUAGUGAACAGUAUGCCAUACACAUAUGGAUAUCCUAAGAGAUCAUUUCUAGGUCCAACACUAACAAUUGGAAUAGUGGGGGCAGGUAUGUGAGCCCAUGGACCUACUGGAGUUGAUGCAAUGGUCUCCAUCAGUCUCUCUGUCAUUUGCUGAGAUUUGAGGUCCUAGUGAACAGAGAAGCACUGGGCUAGGUAGCUGCAACAGCCACCAACCUAACCACCCCUGCCAAAUUUUGUAUGGGCCCUGUCCCCAAUGUUAUAACAUCACAUCAGGGGCCAGACACAUGUGAGGGGAAUAUGGAGGCUGUUUCAGACAACUGACUCAGGGCUUCCCCCUUCAGCACUAGGCCAUUAAAAGAGGUAAGAAACUGGACUACACCAUCACUAUAUCCCCAAUGUGCAAAGCCAACAUAACUUUUGUUUUUCCUUUUAGGUGUCCAGGAAUGACAGUUCAGCCAAUGGUGGGCAACUACAGUGUUUUGUCCUCACUGUUUGUUUUUGCUGGUGUGCCCAGCUCCACAACCUGAUAAGCUUUACCACUGUGGGAUGCGUAAAGCUGAUCAGCCAGCUAUGGUUCCAUUUCAUCCAUUUCAUGCUGAGUGAGAACAAGACCAAAUGAGGAUUUGGUAGGCAUGCAGGCAGGGGCAUGGUGUUGAUGAUUAGGUUAAAGUGAGGGGGAAAAAAGUAUUAACUUACUGGAUUUUCUGUCUGGUUGAUUCCUAUCAAGAAGACUAACUCUGAGAAAAACAAGGCAGCCACUAGGUUUUUGUGGAUGCUGUGCAGGUUGGAACGUAAUGUUCGGAUCAAGACAAGAAGUAUAAAUGUAAGCAACAAAGCUGCCAGCGAGAUGGACACAGUUGUGUAAGUGAUAAUCUUCAGAGGAAGUGCUUCACCAUUCUGUGGAAUACAAGUAUAAUUUUUUUUGUUAAAUUGCCUUCUCAAAUACACUUUUU
This is a long non-coding RNA of Sceloporus undulatus (fence lizard), 4700 nucleotides long. RefSeq lists it as uncharacterized. The record is from RefSeq and is a predicted model, not a curated record. The transcript has 2 exons. Lineage: Eukaryota; Metazoa; Chordata; Lepidosauria; Squamata; Phrynosomatidae.